UACGUAGGGUGCAAGCGUUGUCCGGAAUUAUUGGGCGUAAAGAGCUUGUAGGCGGUUUGUCGCGUCUGCUGUGAAAUUUCGGGGCUCAACCUCGGGCCUGCAGUGGGUACGGGCAGACUAGAGUGCGGUAGGGGAGAUUGGAAUUCCUGGUGUAGCGGUGGAAUGCGCAGAUAUCAGGAGGAACACCGAUGGCGAAGGCAGAUCUCUGGGCCGUAACUGACGCUGAGGAGCGAAAGCGUGGGGAGCGAACAGG
This 253-nucleotide ribosomal RNA is filed under the name uncultured bacterium. Its description in RNAcentral is "partial 16S ribosomal RNA". It matches the Rfam family "Bacterial small subunit ribosomal RNA", at positions 524 to 776 of the family's 1533-position model. The record is from RNAcentral.